RNAcentral lists this ribosomal RNA (279 nucleotides) under uncultured bacterium. RNAcentral describes it as "partial 16S ribosomal RNA". It matches the Rfam family "Bacterial small subunit ribosomal RNA", at positions 506 to 784 of the family's 1533-position model. The record is from RNAcentral.
UGCCAGCAGCCGCGGUAAUACGGGGGGUGCAAGCGUUAUUCGGAAUUAUUGGGCGUAAAGAGCGCGUAGGCGGCCAGAUAAGUCAGAUGUGAAAGCCCGGGGCUCAACCCCGGAAGUGCAUUUGAAACUAUUUGGCUUGAGUAUGGGAGAGGGAAGUGGAAUUCCUGGUGUAGAGGUGAAAUUCGUAGAUAUCAGGAGGAACACCGGUGGCGAAGGCGACUUCCUGGACCGAUACUGACGCUGAGACGCGAAAGCGUGGGGAGCAAACCGGAUUAGAUA